Passer domesticus (house sparrow) is the source of this 1078-nucleotide long non-coding RNA. RefSeq lists it as uncharacterized. The transcript is spliced from 2 exons. The record is from RefSeq and is a predicted model, not a curated record. Lineage: Eukaryota; Metazoa; Chordata; Aves; Passeriformes; Passeridae.
CCAUGGCAGGGCGAGGUGCUGAACACAGCGUGUUUGAGGUAUGAGCAGGUGUGCAAAGCCAGCCUUCUGUCAAGGAGCAGAGUCAGUGUGGGAGCUAGAUCCUUGAGGAGUGGCUGCAGCAGUGCCAUCACAGAUAUAGACAUGCAUGGCAUCCACUGGGGUCCCAACUGAGGGAGCCAGCCCAUGACUAUAAACUUAAUUAAGUGAACUCAAAAUGCCUGUGAUCCGCCGUGGAGCCGUCGUGCUGCGAAGCGUGCCAGUUUCCCAGUUUCACCUAUGAUAAAUAGAUAAGGCUCUCUUGGUAUUUGUGGUAUUUCCGUGCACUGUGCUGUAAUAAUAGAAAUGACCUUGGCUAUCACAAAGAGCGGGACUGUUAAGUGCAAGUUGCAUUGUGGUCUGGCAGGUGAAUGGGCAGUUUUUUAAAGUAUCAAAUUAUACUGUGCCACUGUAUCAUAGCGGACAGACUGUCUGCAGCCGUGCUGAGUCAGAAUAAAGGUCCAUUUAGCUGGUACCCUUCCUGCCACAAUGGCUGUUAGCAGAUGGUAUGAGAAGGAGUACAAGAAAGGAAUGCAAGUGGAGACUAAUCCUUUCCUCGGUGUAACCUCCCUGCUUCUAACAGGAUGAAGUGUAGGGGCUUUCCAAGCAAUAAUGAACAUUUAGACCAUUAUGCUGAAUAAACACUAGUGGCCCCAUCCUGAGAUGGCCAUAUCUAUUUAUCAAAGGUACUCUAAAAACUGCCUUUUAAAACGUCUGUGAAUGGAGAAAGCUGGGUUGUACAAUUUUUUUUUCACACCUUUCCAGCGUGGGAGUUUGUUUUCCAGAGCAGGGAUUAUAUCGUUUUGUGUAUUAUGUCUCCUUGUGUAUGUAGGGCAGGAUUUACCGGAAUGCCAGUGUAUCCGUACAUAUGUGUUUGAACUGCUGCAGUCAUGAUAAGAAUCUGCCAGCAGGGGUCACACAGCUACACACAAAAAGUAAUCACAGCCCUCCGAAGUAAUGAACUUUAUCAGUGUUCAAAAGUUAGGAAAGGAACUAGGUGACUCUUUUUUCUUUCUCGCAUUAAAAAAAAAAAAAAACAAAA